This 253-nucleotide ribosomal RNA is filed under the name uncultured bacterium. Its description in RNAcentral is "partial 16S ribosomal RNA". It matches the Rfam family "Bacterial small subunit ribosomal RNA", at positions 524 to 776 of the family's 1533-position model. The record is from RNAcentral.
UACGAAGGGGGCUAGCGUUGUUCGGAAUUACUGGGCGUAAAGCGCGUGUAGGCGGUUGGGCAAGUCGGAUGUGAAAGCCCAGGGCUCAACCCUGGAAGUGCAUUCGAUACUGCCUAGCUAGAGUCCCGGAGAGGAUGGUGGAACUCUCGGUGUAGAGGUGAAAUUCGUAGAUAUCGAGAAGAACACCGGUGGCGAAGGCGGCCAUCUGGACGGUGACUGACGCUGAGACGCGAAAGCGUGGGGAGCAAACAGG